Molecule: ribosomal RNA, 499 nt
Filed under: uncultured bacterium
Lineage: Bacteria
Description: bacterial SSU rRNA
Rfam family: Bacterial small subunit ribosomal RNA
Source: RNAcentral
GAUGAACGCUAGCUACAGGCUUAACACAUGCAAGUCGAGGGGCAGCAUGAUUGAAGCUUGCUUCAAUUGAUGGCGACCGGCGCACGGGUGAGUAACACGUAUCCAACCUUCCGUACACUCAGGGAUAGCCUUUCGAAAGAAAGAUUAAUACCUGAUGGUAUCUUAAGCACACAUGUAAUUAAGAUUAAAGAUUUAUCGGUGUACGAUGGGGAUGCGUUCCAUUAGGUAGUAGGCGGGGUAACGGCCCACCUAGCCUACGAUGGAUAGGGGUUCUGAGAGGAAGGUCCCCCACAUUGGAACUGAGACACGGUCCAAACUCCUACGGGAGGUAGCAGUGAGGAAUAUUGGUCAAUGGGCGGAAGCCUGAACCAGCCAUGCCGCGUGAAGGACUAAGGCCCUACGGGUCGUAAACUUCUUUAGACGCAGAGCAAUAAGGUCCACGUGUGGACCGAUGAGAGUAUGCGUAGAAUAAGCAUCGGCUAACUCCGUGCCAGCAGCC